Molecule: long non-coding RNA, 2771 nt
Organism: Triticum aestivum (bread wheat)
Lineage: Eukaryota; Viridiplantae; Streptophyta; Magnoliopsida; Poales; Poaceae
Exons: 3
Source: RefSeq, a predicted model, not a curated record
UCUUGUCCCCAUCCUAUCCCCUCCCCUUGCCGCCCCUUCUUCAUUGGAUGACCAGAUGCACAACCACAUAUGUUUUUUAAUUCAGGCUCAUAGGGUCUAGAUUUGAAUGUAAAACUACCUGACUUUACCAUUAACAGAUUGGAAGCACGAUUAUCGCUGCAAUUUUUUUAGUCAUGGCAUAUUUUCUCUUAUAUGUGUUUGUUGAUGAUUAAUCAUCAAAGGUUAUACGCGUGUUUCGUCCCAAGCACAAGUCCUUCUUUCACAUAUCCCUUUUGUCAUAUGUCUUCUUGAUGCAAAGAGGCUCAGCUUGCUACUGAUGGAUUGCAGCUUACCAAAUUUGAUUUGGUUUGGUACAAUGGAUGUUUGGUAUUGAUGUUGAAAGAAUACUUCACUUUCUGUAAUUUCUGAUGUUCAGAUUAUACCGAAUGAAUGCUACCAGAUUCCAUAUUUGUUCUAGAGAUAUUAUUGAUCUUUUCAUGCACCAAUUGUUCAAGUAGUGUCUUUCUGCUAAAAGCUUUAUAUUGCCCUGUGUGUCCUUUUGUCCGUACCUUUUUCCAGUAAUUUUCUCUGUUAACCUUGGGCCAGCUCAUUUGUGUGUGCUUCAUGUAUAUGCUCAUGCUUUUGAUGCUGCUGGACUUUGGAAUGCAUCCGCACAGUAACUUUCUGGGUAUGCUUGCAUUCAGGUUGUCAUUAGUUACGAGAUGGUACAUCAGUGUCUCCACUCUAGAGAUGAAUAUAAUACGCCAAAAGUAAGUGUCUGAUCCCAGCUUCUUUUAUUGUGGAUUGUGGGUACGGUGAGCAAUACAUUGAUUCACAAGUACGUCUUGCAGCACAGAAAUUAUUCCGUUCAAAGUGAAUUACACGGCAUAAAUCAAACAUGCGCUGAGCCUACUAAUGCGACUACCAGUACUGUUGCACUACUAGAACCCAAUGGCAUGAUGGUGCAGCAAAUAUGGUUUUUUAUUAGAUAGUUUUCUGCACUGUAUAUGUGAUGAAUUCACAAAUUUAUGAUUUUGAGGUACUGGUGAAGGUAGAUUCAAAUGAGUGAUGCAAAUUCAGAAUUGCAUAGGUAGUGCCUACGACUGACUAAGGGUACAUGAGUUGGAAGAAAGUCCAAGCAGAAGGAACUCCUACAGAUGCCCAGGCUGCUACUGUGCCUAUCUUAAGGGUGAUCUUGACCUGAUUUUGCUUUCGAACUGAAUUGUGGUAAUCAAGCAGGGAGACGAGACGUUGUUGAGCUGUUUUUCGGUAGAUUUGAGCUACCUAGAGUUGAGCUAGGCACCAGACGAGCAGAAGCACAAACGUAGGAGGUAUCCAACAACGACAACCGCAACGCCAUUCCACUUAAACCUGGAGACCAGAGAAAGGAUGCGGUACCACUGCUCUUCUUUCUCCUUACUAAAUCUCUGAAAAGGGAUGCUCAUAUAAUUACUAAUAAUUUAGUUGCAAGUCUUCUGUAAGAGCCUUGAUGUACUUUAUCUCAUGGUUUGGGUUGUGAAAGAAUUUUGGAAGGACCACAAGGUAGUCUUCAGUUCAGUUUGUCCAUUUAUAGUGUUGAUGUAUCUAGCUACUUGUAUCUGCUUUCUUUUGUUGUAAAAUGAAAUAGCAUUCUUGCUGAUCAAUGAAAUUAGAAAAUCAACAAACUACAUUGUUCCUUUUUUUCUUUUCUUUUUCUAUCCUUGAAGAUAUUUAAUGAUGUGAUCUGAAACUUUUAGUUUUGUUCUAUUAUGCAAAGUUAAGAGUUUUCGGGAUAAAAUUCUAAUUUGGGCCACUCUCUUUUUUACAAGAGUUCUAGGAAAAUUUACAUUGAAAUUUGUCACAUGCAAACUGGAGGAAGGGGCAAUAAGCAGAGAAUUCCCCUCAAGAUGUGAACCGCAUUGAUGCCCUCGGUAUGUGUGUUGCUACUGCUGAAUGAUGCUCCCUUGUCGUUGUUGCUAUAGUACGAUUUAGUACAGCUUGUCUAAAUGGGUUAGAAGAGGGGUUAUGAAAUGUUUUGUUGGAGUUUAAAUAUUCUUUCAUGUAUUAAACUGAUAAGUUGUGCACUUUUGCUGCUGUUAGAUAAACUGACUACUCUGUACUGUUGGAUAGCCAUGGUAUGUGUUAGUUUUAUUUUACCACAAAAGUUUCUUGGGAGUUGGGAUAUCAGGUGUAUUCAUUACUUUUCCUAGGAAUAUAUUCUAUUUUGGUGCACUGUAUAUCUAUCUAAUCUAUCUAUCCAAGUUUUCAAAGAAAUUGAUGGCGGCGGCUUGGCCGUGUCGUGGUGAAUGGCGAAGCUUCGAAACUGAACAUGAGAAAGGUGUUGACGCGCGGUUGGGAGACGUACAUACUUGAGGAAAUAUGAUUCAUAAGGUUUCAUAUUAACGAAAACUGAUAAUCUGAACAUUUUGUUUAUUCCUGGAUGACUUUAUUCUUCAAUAUGAAUAUGUAAGAAAAGAUAUGACAUACAUUUGUGUAAAUUGAUAAUGUAGGGUCAUCUCGAAACUUUAUUAUUUUUUCAAGAUUGAUUUACUUGGUGGUGUUAACUUCCAUUUUCUCGAAACAGGACAUGUGUUCUAUUUCUGAAAAAAGAAGCUUCUCUGUUAGCUAGCAUCCCCGACGGUACUUUUAGACUGGAUGUAGACCAGUAGGGUCAAUUAAAAAUUGUUGGCUAUAGAUGACUUUAAGUUUCUAGCUUUCAUAAAAUGUAGACGUGUACGUACUCUAACAGUAUGUCGUGGUUGAUGAUGGUCCUAUGUACUGGUUGAAAUUAUCAUGUUGGAUAAUAUUGCUUA